UUAAGUGACUAAGCGUACACGGUGGAUGCCUUGGCAGUCAGAGGCGAUGAAAGACGUAGUAACUUGCGAUAAGCCCAGAUUAGGUAGUAACAACCAUUUGAGUCUGGGAUUUCUGAAUGGGGAAACCCACGUGCAUAAGCACGUAUCCUUACCUGAAUACAUAGGGUAAGGAGGCGAACCGGGGGAACUGAAACAUCUAAGUACCCCGAGGAAAAGAAAUCAACCGAGAUUCCGAAAGUAGCGGCGAGCGAAAUUGGACUAGCCCUUAAGCUUUACACGCGUUAGACGAACGGUCUGGAAAGUCCGACGAUACAGGGUGAUAGUCCCGUAGUUGACGACGUGUGUUCAGUGAAAUCGAGUAGGGCGGGACACGUGAUAUCCUGUCUGAAUAUGGGGGGACCAUCCUCCAAGGCUAAAUACUACUGACUGACCGAUAGUGAACCAGUACCGUGAGGGAAAGGCGAAAAGAACCCCUGUGAGGGGAGUGAAAUAGAACCUGAAACCGUGUACGUACAAGCAGUAGGAGCAGGCUUUGUCCUGUGACUGCGUACCUUUUGUAUAAUGGGUCAGCGACUUAUAUUCAGUGGCAAGGUUAACCAUCUAGGGGAGCCGUAGGGAAACCGAGUCUUAACUGGGCGUUCAGUCUCUGGAUAUAGACCCGAAACCAGGUGAUCUAGCCAUGGGCAGGUUGAAGGUUGAGUAACAUCAACUGGAGGACCGAACCGACUAAUGUUGAAAAAUUAGCGGAUGACUUGUGGCUAGGGGUGAAAGGCCAAUCAAACCUGGAGAUAGCUGGUUCUCCCCGAAAGCUAUUUAGGUAGCGCCUCGGACGAAUACUACUGGGGGUAGAGCACUGUUAAGGCUAGGGGGUCAUCCCGACUUACCAACCCUUUGCAAACUCCGAAUACCAGUAAGUACUAUCCGGGAGACACACGGCGGGUGCUAACGUCCGUCGUGGAGAGGGAAACAACCCAGACCGCCAGCUAAGGUCCCAAAUUACUACUAAGUGGGAAACGAUGUGGGAAGGCUCAGACAGCCAGGAUGUUGGCUUAGAAGCAGCCAUCAUUUAAAGAAAGCGUAAUAGCUCACUGGUCGAGUCGGCCUGCGCGGAAGAUGUAACGGGGCUAAGUAGUAAACCGAAGCUGCGGCAAUGUGCUUUUGCACAUUGGGUAGGGGAGCGUUCUGUAAGCGGUUGAAGGUGUGUGGUAACGCAUGCUGGACGUAUCAGAAGUGCGAAUGCUGACAUGAGUAACGAUAAAGGGGGUGAAAAACCUCCUCGCCGGAAGACCAAGGGUUCCUGUCCAACGUUAAUCGGGGCAGGGUAAGUCGACCCCUAAGGCGAGGCCGAAAGGCGUAGUCGAUGGGAAACGGGUUAAUAUUCCCGUACUUCUUACAAUUGCGAUGGGGGGACGGAGAAGGCUAGGUGGGCCUGGCGACGGUUGUCCAGGUUCAAGUGCGUAGGCUUAAGAGUUAGGUAAAUCCGGCUCUUUUUAAGGCUGAGACACGACGUCGAGCACCUACGGGUGUGAAGUCAUUGAUGCCAUGCUUCCAGGAAAAGCCUCUAAGCUUCAGAUUGUAAGGAAUCGUACCCCAAACCGACACAGGUGGUCGGGUAGAGAAUACCAAGGCGCUUGAGAGAACUCGGGUGAAGGAACUAGGCAAAAUGGUACCGUAACUUCGGGAGAAGGUACGCUCUCGACGGUGAAGUCCCUCGCGGAUGGAGCUAUUGAGAGUCGCAGAUACCAGGUGGCUGCAACUGUUUAUUAAAAACACAGCACUGUGCAAAAUCGUAAGAUGACGUAUACGGUGUGACGCCUGCCCGGUGCCGGAAGGUUAAUUGAUGGGGUUAGACUUCGGUCGAAGCUCUUGAUCGAAGCCCCGGUAAACGGCGGCCGUAACUAUAACGGUCCUAAGGUAGCGAAAUUCCUUGUCGGGUAAGUUCCGACCUGCACGAAUGGCGUAAUGAUGGCCACGCUGUCUCCACCCGAGACUCAGUGAAAUUGAAAUCGCUGUGAAGAUGCAGUGUACCCGCGGCUAGACGGAAAGACCCCGUGAACCUUUACUACAGCUUGGCACUGAACAUUGACCCUACAUGUGUAGGAUAGGUGGGAGGCUUUGAAGCACGUACGCCAGUAUGUGUGGAGCCGUCCUUGAAAUACCACCCUUGUAGUGUUGAUGUUCUAACGUCGACCCCUUAUCGGGGUUGCGGACAGUGCCUGGUGGGUAGUUUGACUGGGGCGGUCUCCUCCCAAAGAGUAACGGAGGAGCACGAAGGUGGGCUAAUCACGGUUGGACAUCGUGAGGUUAGUGCAAUGGCAUAAGCCCGCUUGACUGCGAGAAUGACAAUUCGAGCAGGUGCGAAAGCAGGUCAUAGUGAUCCGGUGGUUCUGAAUGGAAGGGCCAUCGCUCAACGGAUAAAAGGUACUCCGGGGAUAACAGGCUGAUACCGCCCAAGAGUUCAUAUCGACGGCGGUGUUUGGCACCUCGAUGUCGGCUCAUCACAUCCUGGGGCUGAAGUCGGUCCCAAGGGUAUGGCUGUUCGCCAUUUAAAGUGGUACGCGAGCUGGGUUUAGAACGUCGUGAGACAGUUCGGUCCCUAUCUGCCGUGGGCGUUGGAAGAUUGAAGGGGGCUGCUCCUAGUACGAGAGGACCGGAGUGGACGAACCUCUGGUGUUCGGGUUGUGUCGCCAGACGCAUUGCCCGGUAGCUAAGUUCGGAAUCGAUAACCGCUGAAAGCAUCUAAGCGGGAAGCGAGCCCUGAGAUGAGUCUUCCCUGAUACUUUAAGUAUCCUAAAGGGUUGUCGGAGACUACGACGUUGAUAGGUCAGGUGUGUAAGUGCUGUGAGGCAUUGAGCUAACUGAUACUAAUUGCCCGUGAGGCUUAACCAU
Molecule: ribosomal RNA, 2889 nt
Filed under: Vibrio parahaemolyticus TUMSAT_DE2_S2
Lineage: Bacteria; Pseudomonadati; Pseudomonadota; Gammaproteobacteria; Vibrionales; Vibrionaceae
Description: bacterial LSU rRNA
Rfam family: Bacterial large subunit ribosomal RNA
Source: RNAcentral